CCUACGGGUGGCAGCAGUGAGGAAUAUUGGGCAAUGGCCGGAAGGCUGAACCAGCCAUGCCGCGUGAAGGUCAGUGCCCUAUGGGCGUUAAACUUCUUUUGUGCGGGAGCAAUAAUGGUCACGUGUGGCCAGACGAGAGUACCGUACGAAUAAGCAUCGGCUAACUCCGUUCCAGCAGCCGCGGUAAUACGGGGGAUGCAAGCGUUAUCCGGAUUUAUUGGGGUUAAAGGGUGCGUAGGCUGGGAGGUAAGUCAGCGGUGAAAUGCCCCCGCUCAACGGGGUGAAGUGCCAUUGAUACUGCCUUGCUGGAAUGCGGAUGACGUGGGAGGAAUGUGUGGUGUAGCGGUGAAAUGCAUAGAUAUCACACAGAACACCGAUUGCGAAGGCAUCUCACGAAUCCGCGAUUGACGCUGAUGCACGAAAGCGUGGGUAUCAAACAGGAUUAGAUACCCGUGUAGUC
RNAcentral lists this ribosomal RNA (460 nucleotides) under uncultured bacterium. RNAcentral's name for it is "partial 16S ribosomal RNA". It matches the Rfam family "Bacterial small subunit ribosomal RNA", at positions 338 to 795 of the family's 1533-position model. The record is from RNAcentral.